Chelonoidis abingdonii (Abingdon island giant tortoise) is the source of this 115-nucleotide non-coding RNA. The record is from RefSeq and is a predicted model, not a curated record. NCBI's taxonomy places the organism in Eukaryota, Metazoa, Chordata, Testudines, Testudinidae.
AGAACAGCAGUACUUGUGGCACCUUAGAGACUAACAAAUUUAUUCAGCAUGAGCUUUCGUGAGCUAUAGCCCACUGCUUCGGAUGCAUAGAAGAAACACGCAGACAGGAAAUAUU